CUCACCGUUUCUCAUUGUUUCCCACAAUCACUUCCAGAAAUCACUCCCCAAAAUCGCUUCUAGAAAUUGCUUUUCAUCGUUUCUCAUUAAAGAGUUUAAGAAAUGCUUCUUCUUCUCAUCGCUUCAAGGGUUCGAUUGACAUUCUCUUCAUCAAAGAAAUCUAUUUUUAGUUCACAAUUUUCUCUUCUCUCGUAUUUGUACCUUUUAUUUCAUGAAAUAGUGGCUCGACCAACUUUGUGGUUGUUUGGUGAUCAAAAAGUUAGAGUGUUCUAUGCUGUGAGAUUUUUUGUUGGUUUUCUCUCGCUUUCCACGUAGACUGUUCUUGUGGUAGCUCUUUCGAGAAAGUAUGGAAAACGACUUGCUUCUUAUACACUUGCUAUGCCGUGCUUAACCAACGACUAUUUCUUUGCUAGCACAAGUUUCUUGUCAAGUUCGUUUCCCAUGUAUGCAAUCUCUCUUGCUUCGGGUUUAUUUCUUCUUGAUAAACAUGCUGCAGCAGUUGUUGUCUCUGCUAUUGGUGUGAUACAUGGCUGGCCAUUCUCAAUCUUGGCUUUCCUUCCGGUGACACUUCAUUCUUUAUA
This is a long non-coding RNA of Lathyrus oleraceus (garden pea), 581 nucleotides long. RefSeq lists it as uncharacterized. The transcript has 4 exons. The record is from RefSeq and is a predicted model, not a curated record. NCBI's taxonomy places the organism in Eukaryota, Viridiplantae, Streptophyta, Magnoliopsida, Fabales, Fabaceae.